GACAGAGGUCCCGAGCGUUAGGCGGAAUCACUGGGCGUAAAGCGCGUGUAGGCGGUUGCCCAAGUCGGGUGUGAAAGCCUUGAGCUCAACUCAAGAAAUGCACUCGGUACUGGGUGACUAGAGGACCGGAGAGGAUAGUGGAAUUCCCAGUGUAGUGGUGAAAUACGUAGAUAUCGUGAGGAACACCAGAGGCGAAGGCGGCUACCUGGACAAUUGCUGACACUCAGGCACGAAAGCGUGGGGAGCAAAAGGG
Molecule: ribosomal RNA, 253 nt
Filed under: uncultured bacterium
Lineage: Bacteria
Description: partial 16S ribosomal RNA
Rfam family: Bacterial small subunit ribosomal RNA
Source: RNAcentral